Molecule: long non-coding RNA, 7492 nt
Organism: Chelonia mydas (Green sea turtle)
Lineage: Eukaryota; Metazoa; Chordata; Testudines; Cheloniidae
Exons: 3
Source: RefSeq, a predicted model, not a curated record
UUCACUUUCCCCAGCCACAGCUCUCUCUUCCCUCCCCCACCUAUAUUUUUGGAGGAUGCAGCCUAAAGGAAAAGUGAAAGUCACCAGCCUUUGUUUUGACUGCGGAGAAAAACAGCCCUGUUGGGGUUCACAGCCAAUGGCCCACACCUCGGGACCACGAGCAACAAGACUCGGCCUCUGAAUGGGAGUGUGCUAAGAAAUGGGAUCCUAAAGACAUCUGGAAAUAGCAGUGAACCUGUGGGUACAGCCUGGACCAGACUAAGCAUCUGCCCCUCUGCCUGCUCUGUUCCACCCCCACCAGAUCGCAACAGUGGCUCCCCAAAGACUAUGCUGAAAGGAGGAGAUGCAUGUGCAGUGCCCAGUACAAAAUUCAAGUAUCUCCAGAAGAGUAAACGGGAGGAGAUGGAGGCCUAAGAAUUUGCCCUCGUGGGACCAAGGAUGCAGAGCACAUUUGCAAUGGAGCUGAAUAAUUCACAGUUUGGGAGCUGUAAGGGAAAAUGUGACCCCCUUCUGCUCCUGUAUUUCUAAACUCCCACAUGUCAAUCCUCUGGAACAACUCUUAUGCCAGAAACUAGAUGAACCAGUUUGGCUCAGGCUAUCACUUGGAUAACUACAAUUAAAAACCAGAUACAGAGGGCAAACAAACAUCUGUUGGGGGCCUUAUCUACAGAGGGCCCUCGACUUUGUCUUGGCAAUUAGCACUCUGUGGUGAUUAUAAUCCCCACUAAUUUAUUAAUUUAUUGCUUCAGACCUGGUAAAGAUCUCAUAUGUUUAUUGUUGCCAUGACUUUGUGCCUUCUCCAGCCAAAGAAUAACUAGGCUUCCAAUACUGUGCUUUGAACAAAAGAUUUGACUGGAAACUGACAGGAUAAUGCCAGAGUGUCAUGUGUUUGUUUAGGUUGCAUGCUGUUGAUUUCUGAACAACCUGGUAUAGACCCCUGUAAGCAGCUAAAUUACAACAGAGAUGAAAAAGUUUCUUCACUUUGGACCUUCUCACAUCACUGGUUUUAACUCUGCUGGUGUGCUUGUUCCUAUGACUUCAUUAACAGACAAAUCCUGAUACAUCAAAACCAACGUAAGAACUUCUUGUGACUUCAGGGUAGUGCUGAAUUUGGUUCUCUGGCACUGAGUGCUUAGGCCUGGUCUACACUACAAAGUCAGGUCAAUGUAAGUCAUCUUGCAUCAGCCUCUUUGAGUAUGUGUCUAUAUUCAAAUUUGUCUCUGGCUGAUGUAAGUGCCCCACUACAGCGACACAGUAAAAACACCUGCCCAAACUGCGGAGAGCCAUGGUUGACCUACUGAGGUCAAUGCAGAGUAAGCGUAGCCACUGUAUGACCUGUGUUGAUUCCAACAACCUCCACCAGCUGUCCCAAUGGACAGUGACCAUCCUGGUUAUAUUUUUAAUCUCCGCUGCCUAUGGGUCACAGAGACCGGAAACCACACACCCCCAUUUAACUCCCCCUGCGUGCUUUUGAAAUGCCUCUUCCUGAUUGCCCAGCUUGGCAAGCACACACAGCAGCUCACCUUUGUUACAUGCAGUUGCCUUGCCUAGCUCCCUAUGCCAGCUCCACGCGCACAGAGGUACAAGAUACAGUCCUGCCUGGAGUAGACAAAAAGUAUUGGAUUUCCUGGGCACAGCUAUGGACCAGCUGUAGAAACAUGGACAUCUACGAGCAGACUGCAUAGGGGGUGCAGAGAAAGGGUUAUGACAGGGGUCAGCAGCAGUGCUGUGUGAAUGCGAAGGAACUUUAACAGGGAUAUCACAAGGCCAGGGAGGCCUAUGAUGGAUCUGGUGCUGCGCCACAGACCUACCGCUUCUACAAGGAACUGCAUGCCAUCCGUGGUGGAGACCUCACCAGCAACCCACAGACCACUGUGGAUACCUCAUGGGAUCCCGAGACCCCAGCUGUGAACGGCGAGAAGGAGGAUGAGGAGGAUGGGGUGGGGGAAACAGGAUGCUGUGAGCCAGGACCUGUUUGCAGCUCCACCAAAGUCUAGCAAGUUCUACCAAGCAAGCACAGAUGAGCCUACUGAAGGGGAAGAGAACUCAGCUUUUGGCAGGGUAGCCUUGAGAGGUGCCCCCUCCUCGCCAGCAGAACACCUGACCCUGAAGAGGAGGAGAAAGAAAAGAAUGAGGGAGGACAUGAUUUGUGAGAUCCUGCAUGCCAGUGCUUCAUCAGACCAUGAACAAAGGGCUUGGAGAGCCACCGUGACCAACAGCAUGGAAAAGGAAAGAGAGUACAAGAAAGAGGCCUCGGGAGUUGCAGCGGGAAAUGUAGCUAAUGUAAUAGGUCUUUAGUGCUCAAGUAGCAAACUCAAGUGCUGCAGGCCCUGAUUGACCUACCAGUCCAAAAAUCCCAGACCUGCCCACCCUUUGCAGUCCUUGGAGAAUUCCAUGGUCACUGCUCCCUGCACCUCCUAAUAUACCACAUGGCUUCACAGGGCACAUCCUUACCCCUUCCACUCCAUGCCAGGGACAGUAAGGAAAACCACAGCUUUACAUACACUGACCUGUGAACACCAUGGCAGGUGUGUGUGUAGCCACACUGGACUAUGCUUGUUUCCUCAACUGGACACACAUGUUUACUUCCUUUUAUAAUUUUAAACUUUCACCCCAUUAAGUUAAAAACUUGUGUAAUAGGGCCUAUGUGAUUUUUGGCUUUUGCACAUUGAUUUUCUACAGCGUUGUUUCUUUUUUUCCCCACUCAACAAGGGUUUUUUGGAGAAUUAAAUUAACUCUAUUAGAGCAGGUCUUCACUACCUGCUGGAUCAGCAGGUAGUGAUCAGUCUGUCAGGGAUUGAUUUAUCGCGUCUCGUCUAGACACGAUAAAUCGAUCCCCGAAUGCGCUCCCCUUUGACUCCGGAACUCCAGCUCGCGAGAAGCGGAAGCGGAGUCGAUGGGGGAGCAGCAGGUAAGUUGACCUAAGAUAUGCCAACUUCAGCUACACUAUUCAAAGUUGUGUAUCUUAGGUCGACCCCCCCUCCGCCCUCCCCACCAGUGUAGACUAGGGCAAAGUUCACAACAAACAUUGCAGAAUGCAGAGUUUGCAAAAAAUGCAAAGCAGACAGUAUUUGUAAAUGCAUGCUGAGCAUCAUAGAAUUCAUAACUACUGCAAAACACCCAGUCAUAUUCACAAAUGUAAUGUAAGCACUACAAGCAGCAUGUAAAGUUCUAGGCCGGGGGUGGGUAAACUUUUUGGCCUGAGGGCCACACCUGGGUAUGGAAAUUGUAUGGUGGGCCAUGAAUGCUCACAAAAUUGGGGUUGGGAGGGGGAGAGAAUGAGGGCUCUGGCUGGGGGUGUGGGCUCUGGGAUGGGGCCAGAAAUGAGUUCAGGGUACAGGAGGGGGCCCUGUGCUGGGGCAGGAGGGGUAGGGUAUGGGGGGGGAUGAGGGCUCCAGCGGGGGUGUGGCUCUGAGGUGGGGCUGGGGAUGAGAGGUUUGGGGUGCAGGAGGGUGCUCCGGGCUGGGACUGAGGGGUUUGGAGGUGGAGAGAGGGAUCAGGGCUGGGGUAGGGGGUUGGGACACGGGGGAGGGGGUGAGGGCUCCGGCUGGGGUGCAGGCUCUGGGGUGGGGCUGGGGAUGAGGGGUUUGGGGUGCAGGAGGGGUUCGGAGGGCAGGAGCGGGAUCAGGGCUGGGUCAGGGGGUUGGGGCAUGGUGAGAGGUUCAGGGGUGCAGGCUCCAGGCAGCACUUACCUCAAGCGGGUCCCAGAAGUAGCGGCAUGUUUCCCUCUGGCUCCUACACGGAGGCGCGGCCAGGCAUCUCUGCUGCAUGCUGCCCUGUCCACAGGCACCACCCCUGCAGCUCCCAUUGGCUGCGGUUUCUGGCCAGUGGGAGCUGUGGGGGCGGCGCUUGGGACAGGGGCAGCAUGUGGAGCAGAGCUCUCUGGCUGCCCCUGUGCGUAGGAGCUGGAGGGGGGACAUGCUGCUGCUUCCGAGAGCAGCACGGAGUGGCCCCCGAUCCUGCUUCCCAGCUGGAGCACCAGAGCAGGGCAAGCCCCAGAUCCUGCUCCCCAGUGGGAACUUGAGGGCCUGAUUAAAAUGGCUGGUGGGCCGGAUGCGGACCCUGGGCCAUAGUUUGCCCACCCCUGCUCUAGGCCCACAGACCACUACUAUGGCUGACAGUUAAAGUGCUGUUUCAAAGCUUCCUUCAACUUCAUGUUUCCAUUGUGGGGUCUUGUAAUGAACCAGGAGUCUGGCUGUUCAAAGUCAGUCAACGGCUGCUUUGCAUCUGCCCUCCACCCUGGUGGCAGUUUUUCCCCCUUGGCCUCAUAGAUAUUAUGCAGGACACAAGAGGCAGCGAUAACCAUUGGGAUAUUUUUCUGACUGAGCUCCGAACUAGUGAGUAGACACUGCCAACAUCCCUUCAAUCUACCAGAAGCACAUUCAACUCUCAUUCUGCACCUGCUGAGCUGGUAAUUGAAUCUUUCCUUGGUGCUGUCCAGGUAGCCAGUGUAUAGCUUCAUGAGCAAGGGGUAGGCUGGAUCCUCUAGCAUCUUUAUUGGCAUUUCAAUAUCACCAGUGGUAAUUCACUGGCCAGGAAAGAAUGUCCCUACUUUCAGAUUUCUGAACAGCCAUGUAUUCUUAAAGAUAUGGGUGUCAUGCAUCUUCCCUGACCAACCAACACUGAUGUUGAUGAAGGAUCCCCAGUGGUUCACCUACACAUGCAAAACCAUAGAAAAGUUCCUUUUCUGUUGUACUGUGUAGGCUGGUGCCAAAAUAGAGAGCUGCAUGCUGUCUGUCACCCCACCACUGUUCAGGAACGCCCAUUGCUGCAAAUCCACCCACUAUGUCCUGCCCAUUGCCAAGUGUCACAGGCCUGCAUAGCAGGACAUAAUUAAUGUUUCUACUCACUUGCACAACAAUGGCCCUACUGUGUAUUUUCCAACUCUAAAAUGAUUUCUCAUUGACCAGUAGCAAUCUGGUAUUGCAAGCUUCCAGCGUGUGAUCGCCACUGGCUUCUCCAUGGUUGAUGCAGCUCUCAUUCUGCUGUCCACGCACUGAAGGGCUCGGGUGAACUCCGUGCACAGAUCCAGUCAUAUGGCCUUGCGCAUCCCAAAGUUCUGCAGCCACUGUGCAUUGUCUCAAACCUGCAUUAUGAUAUGAUUCUGCCAGUCAGUACUUUUUUCUCAGGUCCAGAAGCAGCACUCCAUCCUCUGUAGCUGCUCUGUGAAUGCCACCAAUAAUCUUGAAUUGUUCUUCACUGUGUCCCUCAGCAAACUGUCCUCAAAGAAAUUCUCGUGUUCCUGGUUAUUGUACUUCCUGAAGGUCUUCAAAUGCAGGGGAAGUGUGUGUUCUGUAUUUGCAACAUUCACGAGAACAGCAUCGAGCUCUGCGGACUCUGUGCUUCAGCCAGAGAUGGCAGAGACUGAGAAGUGUCAUGCAAGUUUGCAGGGGGAGGCGUUUGAAAAUUAUGGGCUCUGGAUGGCGUGAUGGGAUGGAGAAAGUUACCUGCUGGGAACUUGACCCCUAGCUCCCAGAGAUCUCUGGGUGAGUCAUUACUAUCCCACAACACAUUGCAAAAAUGGCCCAUAUGGCAUUGCGCCAGAUGGCAGAGCGUGGCACAUUGGAAUACGUUCCCAUAGUGCAUUGCACUUUGCAUCGACACAAGCGUGCCUGGUGAGUAGUCGCAGUGCUGACACAAGCAGCCAGGUAACUGAGCGACAGGCAGACUUUGGCGGCUGUAUGCCGACGUAACUUUAUAGAUAUGUAGAUAUGACCUUCGGUAAGCGCUGGCAAAAGCAGUGGCACUUAGCAAGGCCUUUCCCUGCCCAAAACAAAGUAAAGAUCUGUGCUAAAUUAAAUGUUCCCACGUUCGUUCUUCUAUGGAGUGGCGUUUGCCUUCCGUGAUCCACCCUGUUAACGAGACACCUGGCUGUUGAGUGAAUGCAAACCAUAGAAAGAAGAGCUCCCUAUAGUGACCUUAGGUAAUUAGUGUAGAUGUAAAUAUAACUGGCCAGAUCCUCAUAACAUGCAAAUUGAUGCAGCUCCUUUAACUGUAGUGGAGCUAUGUUAAUAUACGCCAUCUGAGGAUCUAGCUCAGCGGUCGGCAACCUAUGGCACGCCUGCCAAAGACAGCACACGAGCCCAUUUUUAAUGGCACAGGGUGCCGGCAGGCAGCAGGGUGCCAUUAACAAUCCAGCCCUGCUCUGCCUGCUCUUCUCCGCUCCCCGCCCCCUCCCGCGGGGGCAGAGGGCAAGGCGCAGAAGCUUGGUCCUGCCAGCUCCCCUGCCUCUUCCUGCAGUGUGCUGGGUCCCUGCCCCUCCUCUUCCUCCUCCUCUCCCUCCCUGUCCCUGCCCCUGCCGGCUGAUCAGCUGAUGGCCCCUGCCAGAGAGGAGCAGAGUCAGCCUGCUCGCUGCUCCCAGUGGAGGCAGAGAAGAAGCGGGGGCUGGGCCUUGGGGAAGUGGGGCAUAUCCCCUCCAGGCCCCUGCUGUGAGCACCCCACGACCCCAGCCCGCACCCCACGACCCCAGCCCGCACCCCACACCCCCAGCCCUCUGCCCUGACCCCCCCUCACACACACCCAGCCCUUUGCCCUGAGCCCUGCAGCCCCGCACACCCCAAGGCCCCUGCCCUGAGCCCUGUACCCCCUCACACACACCCAGCCCUCUGCUUGGCUCCUGCACCCCCCCCACAACCCCAGCCCUGACUCUGGCACCCCCACACAUACCCAGCCCCUCCACCCCCCACAUCCCCAUCCCCACCCUGAGCACCAAAUGGGAGCUCGUGCACCUCCCCCCCACAUUCCCACCUGCACCCCUCCCACCAAAUGGGAGCUGCCCAGGUAAGCACUCCACACCCAAACCUCCUGCCCCAACCCUGAGCCCCCUCCCUCAUUCUAGCUCCUGGCCAGACCCUGCACCCUAACCCCAGUCUGCUCCUUCACACCCAGCCCUGUGCUCAGUGCAGAGAGAGAUGAAGAGAAUGGCCAGAACUAGGGAGAAGGUAAGUUGGGCCAGGACCUCAGACCGGCAGUGGGUUGAGCGGGACCGGCAGCCGCGAUCCCGGCUGGCAGGAGCUGGCAGACGGAACCCCUGAGUAGCAGCAGGCUGAGCCGCUCAGCCCACUGCCGGUCUGGGGUUCUGGCUGCCGGCCCCUUGCCAGCCAGGUUCCCGGCCCCAGGCCCCGCUUAGCCCGCUGCCAGCCUAGGUGAACGGAACCCCAGGCUAGCAGCGGGCUGGCGGCAUAAGAUCAACAUUUUAAUUUAAUUUUUAAAUGAACCUUCUUAAACAUUUUGAAAACCUUGUUUAUUUUACAAUACAACAAUAGUUUAGUUAUAUAAUAUAUAGAUUUAUAGAGAGACCUUCUAAAAAACAUUAAAAUGUAUUACCGGCACGUGAAACCUUAAAUUAAAGUGAAUAAAUGAAGACUCGGCACAUCGCUUCUGAAAGGUCGCCGACCCCGAUCUAGCUCAUAAUGGUAACAGUGGCCACAGUGGCCCCUGACCUGUUUGGUCUGACUAGGCCUAGGAAAUAAAGUUAGUUCUCAUACAAGCA